GAUGAACGCUGGCGGCGUGCCUAACACAUGCAAGUCGAGCGGACGGACGCGACGCUUGUGUCUCUGAUGUUAGCCGCGGGCGGGUGAGUCACGCGUGGAUCCCCCCCUUAUCUGACUGGGAUCACCACGGGACACCGGCUCUUACACGGUAGAAUAUUCUGCACCGUAGUGUUCAUUGGAGAAUUACGGCGUUGGGGUCUCGACUCGAGACUUAUGAGCUGGAUUAGCUAGUUGGGAGGGUCACGGCCUAUCACGGCAACGAGGCAUAGCCGACCGGAGAGGGUGAUCGGCCACACUGGAACGGGGACACGGUCCAGACUCCUACGGGAGGCAGCAGUAGGGAAUCUUCGGCAAUGGGCGAAAGCCUGACGGAGCGACGCCGCGUGAGUGAUGAAGGUCUUCGGAUCGUAAAGCUCUGUUAUGGGGUAAGAACAUAUGUGGAAGGAACUGUGCACAGCGUGACGGUACCUAAUCAGAAAGCCACGGCUAACUACGUG
RNAcentral lists this ribosomal RNA (497 nucleotides) under uncultured bacterium. RNAcentral's name for it is "partial 16S ribosomal RNA". It matches the Rfam family "Bacterial small subunit ribosomal RNA", at positions 28 to 507 of the family's 1533-position model. The record is from RNAcentral.